GGGGCCUCCAGAAGUUCACGCCAUUUGCAGCGGGGAGGAGCCUGUUCCUGUGUGGCGACCUGGGCUUCAAUCUGUGAGGCGGGAAACCUGCUAGCAGGACUCUUGCUUUGUGGUCUCCUGUGAGAAGAACAUACCCCAGGUAGCCUCUUCUUUGAGAAGCACAAGGAAACACGUGGUGGUGGAACUGAACACAACCCACAGCCUGGAGCUAAACCCAACCUAAGCCAGCCAAGCUCUUCCAAGAUCACCCAAACUCAAGUUGACCUGUAGAUCCAUGGGCAAGGAAAGAAAUGCCUGCUGUUUUAAGAUCUCAAGUUUUAGGUUGAUUUGUUAUGCAGCAUUAUUGCAGUAAAAAUGAAC
RNAcentral lists this long non-coding RNA (360 nucleotides) under Homo sapiens (human). Its description in RNAcentral is "non-protein coding LINC02550:14". The record is from RNAcentral. Lineage: Eukaryota; Metazoa; Chordata; Mammalia; Primates; Hominidae.